RNAcentral lists this ribosomal RNA (316 nucleotides) under uncultured eukaryote. Its description in RNAcentral is "partial 18S ribosomal RNA". It matches the Rfam family "Eukaryotic small subunit ribosomal RNA", at positions 1470 to 1796 of the family's 1831-position model. The record is from RNAcentral.
CCCUUAGAUGUUCUGGGCCGCACGCGUGCUACACUGACCGGCGCAACAAGUUUCUUUCCUUGGCUCGAUAGGCCUGGGUAAUCUUUGAACGCCGGUCGUGAUGGGGAUAGAUCCUUGCAAUUUUUGAUCUUCAACGAGGAAUUCCUAGUAAAUGCGAGUCAUCAUCUCGCGUUGAUUACGUCCCUGCCCUUUGUACACACCGCCCGUCACACCUACCGAUUGAAUGGUCCGGUGAAGCCUCGGGAUUGCGAAUGCUUCGUGCGGACGCGAGAACUUGGCUAAACCUUACCAUUUAGAGGAAGGUGAANUCGUANCA